UCGAGCGGUAGCACAGAGAGCUUGCUCUCGGGUGACGAGCGGCGGACGGGUGAGUAAUGUCUGGGAAACUGCCUGAUGGAGGGGGAUAACUACUGGAAACGGUAGCUAAUACCGCAUAAUGUCGCAAGACCAAAGUGGGGGACCUUCGGGCCUCAUGCCAUCAGAUGUGCCCAGAUGGGAUUAGCUAGUAGGUGGGGUAACGGCUCACCUAGGCGACGAUCCCUAGCUGGUCUGAGAGGAUGACCAGCCACACUGGAACUGAGACACGGUCCAGACUCCUACGGGAGGCAGCAGUGGGGAAUAUUGCACAAUGGGCGCAAGCCUGAUGCAGCCAUGCCGCGUGUGUGAAGAAGGCCUUCGGGUUGUAAAGCACUUUCAGCGGGGAGGAAGGCGUUAAGGUUAAUAACCUUGGCGAUUGACGUUACCCGCAGAAGAAGCACCGGCUAACUCCGUGCCAGCAGCCGCGGUAAUACGGAGGGUGCAAGCGUUAAUCGGAAUUACUGGGCGUAAAGCGCACGCAGGCGGUCUGUCAAGUCGGAUGUGAAAUCCCCGGGCUCAACCUGGGAACUGCAUUCGAAACUGGCAGGCUAGAGUCUUGUAGAGGGGGGUAGAAUUCCAGGUGUAGCGGUGAAAUGCGUAGAGAUCUGGAGGAAUACCGGUGGCGAAGGCGGCCCCCUGGACAAAGACUGACGCUCAGGUGCGAAAGCGUGNGGAGCAAACAGGAUUAGAUACCCUGGNAG
RNAcentral lists this ribosomal RNA (740 nucleotides) under uncultured bacterium. RNAcentral's name for it is "bacterial SSU rRNA". It matches the Rfam family "Bacterial small subunit ribosomal RNA", at positions 62 to 793 of the family's 1533-position model. The record is from RNAcentral.